Molecule: ribosomal RNA, 482 nt
Filed under: uncultured bacterium
Lineage: Bacteria
Description: partial 16S ribosomal RNA
Rfam family: Bacterial small subunit ribosomal RNA
Source: RNAcentral
AUUGAACGCUGGCGGCAUGCUUUACACAUGCAAGUCGAACGGUAACAGGCCGCAAGGUGCUGACGAGUGGCGAACGGGUGAGUAAUGCAUCGGAACGUGCCCAGUCGUGGGGGAUAACUACUCGAAAGAGUAGCUAAUACCGCAUACGAUCUAUGGAUGAAAGCGGGGGACCGUAAGGCCUCGCGCGAUUGGAGCGGCCGAUGUCAGAUUAGGUAGUUGGUGGGGUAAAGGCUCACCAAGCCAACGAUCUGUAGCUGGUCUGAGAGGACGACCAGCCACACUGGGACUGAGACACGGCCCAGACUCCUACGGGAGGCAGCAGUGGGGAAUUUUGGACAAUGGGCGCCAGCCUGAUCCAGCAAUGCCGCGUGCAGGAAGAAGGCCUUCGGGUUGUAAACUGCUUUUGUACGGAACGAAACGGCUCUGGUUAAUACCCGGGGCUAAUGACGGUACCGUAAGAAUAAGCACCGGCUAACUACGUG